UUCAGUGACAACAAAAAAGAGAAUGUCUUUCAAUUAGGAUAGUGCACUGGUUGGACAAGCACCAGAACUGAGGCAAGGCAGGGGGCAGGAUUGUGUGGGUGGCUUGGAAGAGGAGCUGGAUGUUAGCACUCAGCAUGACUUGGAACCACAGCUUAAGGAUAGAGUUACACUUCAUGGUUGACCUUAUCUAACAGCCAGAAUGGAUCCUAACUGAACUUCUUGGAAGAGAGCUGAACUCAGCCAGUGAACCUGCUUUCGUAUGAACAUAGUGACUUUAAGAAAAAUGAAAGUGCAGCAGUGCAAGCCUUUGAGUGGACAUUUAAUAGUAAAAAGGCAUCCCGCCAAGUUUAGACAAGAAGGCUCUACACAGACAAGAUAUCACUUCCCUCACCCUCCACCUAAAAACAAAAGAAAAGGAUACAUUACAUCUAACAAAUUGGGAAGAGAAUUUAUCUUCUGUUCCAUUCCUCUUUGUUAAGAAUUGUCAGCAGAUUGCACCUAAACACACUACUACAGAGAACAGAUUACCUGACCUCUGGAGAUAUUUUGCCAUAGCAGAGCUAUAGGCACAGAAUGGCUGUGUCCUGUCUGCACUUUUCAGAUAGCUACCUAAGGAAUAAUACAGUCUUUGGGACUAUGAAUUGACUGGUGCAGAAUUUCUUACCUAAAGGUUGCUAACAGUGUUUCCCGCCAGUAAAGAUUCAUUGUCUGCAAAAUAAAUUAUUAUUGUUAUUAUUAUUAUUCUAUAGC
Molecule: long non-coding RNA, 750 nt
Filed under: Struthio camelus australis
Lineage: Eukaryota; Metazoa; Chordata; Aves; Struthioniformes; Struthionidae
Description: lncRNA (ENSSCUG00000016847.1)
Source: RNAcentral